Brienomyrus brachyistius is the source of this 3369-nucleotide long non-coding RNA. RefSeq lists it as uncharacterized. The transcript is spliced from 6 exons. The record is from RefSeq and is a predicted model, not a curated record. Lineage: Eukaryota; Metazoa; Chordata; Actinopteri; Osteoglossiformes; Mormyridae.
AGGGUAACCAGAACACCUGAAAGACCCGGAUAGGGGUGGAGCUGGGAGGCGCGCGCUGGGCUCCGUGACGUUCUCGUGCCGCUCGCGGACCGGGCUGGGCCUGAAUGCUUCAACUACACGAAACUCACCACUUUGUUUUGUGAGGAGUCAGCGCUAAUCAGCACCGGCAGCUACCGCCGCUGCGAAGCCUGGCCGCCUCUCAAAGAGAGUCAUUCUAAUUUGGCAGAAAUGCUGACACUGUGGAAGGCAUUUUGACUCAAGUGGCUUUGCUUCCUGCACUAAUGCUUGUCAUCAGCGGCAUGUAGAUUUAUGCAGGCGGACGAGCAUCAUGCAUUGUGAAAUGAUCCAGCAACAUCUCUGCAGUUCGGUUUCUGUACGACAUGCUACCAUGGAGAGGGAGUCAAGACGUUUCCAGCUGAUGCAGGACGAAGAAAUCCGGGUCGAUUCCCAGCUUGAGAGCAACACAAACUGCAUUUAGGGAACUCCGUGCAUCUAUAAUGCUCUACAGGUGCACAUCACAUGGCUCCUCAUCCUCCCCUGGAAGAGAAGGCAAUCUGGAUCAAAAGGCAGCGAGAUGUUUUGUGGUGCAAUCAGCUGUAUGUCUCGGUGGACAGCUGUCAGCAGGAACAUUUCAGAAAGUCUCAGAAAUGUCAGUGCAGGUCUGACAGAAAAGGCAAAACAGGGAGAACAAGUUAAGUAAAUAAAAAACAGGCCAAGAGGAAAGAAUUCAACUUCUUGGCCUUACAUUCUAACCCUGAGUACUGACCCACAAUGAGGAUCAGUUUCAAGGAGUACAAAUUAAAUACAUCUGAAAAAAAUAUAAAACAUCUACAAAGCUUACUAUGUUUUAACUAAUGCCAGCAGUUUAACGGCCCGUCAUGGUGAUGUCACAAAAGCCUUCACUGGCCUUUCAUAAAAUAUUGUCCCAAAAGCCCUCACUGGUCCUUCGCAAAAUAUUGUCGCAAAAGCCCUCACUGGCUCAUCGCAAAAUAUUAAGGUUUGCAAAAAGCCCUCACCAGCCCCUCAUCAAAAGUAGUUCCUCUUCCAUAUCAUCCACAUGCAACGGAGAACCUCAUGUUUGUUAGGCUGGUCAAUUUGAGUAUCUGGAGCUUAGUUUAAAGUUCUACCUUCUAUCACUGCUGACCUGCUGUAUGGUGAAGUAUUCUCAUGUCUUCCAGCUAAUUAGUGACCCCCAUGUCUGUGAUUUUACCAGAGAGUUGUUGAUGAUGAUGGAACCUACUAGAAUUGUGGAGCAUCAUGGAGGAAGCCAAGCUAGGGCCUGGGACAGGAUCUUCUACAUUUAUGUGCACAUUCCCACACCCUGACAUCUCUGAUACUCCGGUGCUUAUAGAGAUGUGUCAUCAUGAGAGGGAUAGUGUUGGAUUAUCAUGAGAGGGUUAGGCCAUCAUGAGAGUGUUGGUGUUAGGUCAUCAUGAGAGGGUUAGACCAUCAUGAGAGGGUUAGGGUUAGGUCAUCAUGAGAGGGUUAGUGUUGGAUUAUCAUGAGAGGGAUAGGCCAUCAUGAGAGGGUUAGUGUUGGAUUAACAUGAGAGGGUUAGGCCAUCAUGAGAGGGUUAAGGCAACUUCAGUUCCUGGUUGAAGGGACUUUAUUCUUUAUUCCCUUCAGUCUGGUGCUAGGACCCCAUGUGACUCCCUCAACAGUUUUUCUAGUCAUUGCCUAACCCAAGCUUUUUAGGAAGAUAAUAAACGCAUGAAAUCGUUACCUAAUGUCAAUUUGAGUGGAUUAAUGACCCAUCCUGCUGGAGGGAGGCCAGCGCUGUCGUCCUGUAAUCUGUCUGCAUGACGGUAAACGGUGAUGCUGAGCUACACAGAUGGAACGUUUGCAGCUUGAAGACGAAAGUAGGGAAACAAAACAGCAGCAUACCAGUGACUGAUAAACCUUUAAUAUAAAAAUUGUACAAGAUUUUUCAUACAAAUUACAAGAGGUAUUUGGACAAAGUCUGAAUAAAAUUCCAUUUACAUCCGAAAACCCUUUUAUGCAUUUUAUGCAAAAACCAUGGACAGGUAUAAUACAAGAAGGAAAAUGUGAGCAAAGAGAAAAGAACCUCCCCCCCCCCCCCCCCCCCGUGUGACUAUGGGAAAAACAUGGCUUCCCACAGAGCUAACAUGACGCAGACGUGGACUCCCUGUUUACCGUGUUUAGGAAGAGUGAUAGAGGACGGCAACGAGGGCAUCCUGCAGGAAACUAGCAAGGUAAUUACACCAAAACAACAACAUGGAGAAUCACUUAUCAUUUUAUUUACAAAAUCAUUCAAGGUUGUUUUUAUCCAUUGGGGGAGAUGCUUUGUAGGUUAGACUGUAGGUCUGCACUGGGCCUCGACUAGCCAUGGGUUAGAUUAACAGUGCCGUUUGUAGGAGGAGCUCGGGUUCAAAGAAUGACUCAAAGUCAGAAACUCGUCUAAAGUUUCAUUCACAAAUAAAUAUUUGUAUGAUUCCUGCAUAGGAAUAAUGCAGAUAUGUACAUAAUUUUAGUAACCAUAUUCCCUGCACCAAACACGUAGAGUUCUGGGACUACUGCUAGUCAACGAAUCACGUUGCGGUAUGGGGCAGGGAUUUCAGUGGUAGAGAGUAUUAAGAAUGCUGUAAGAGUGCUGUGCGUGUUCUGUGAGGGUACUGAGGGGGCACCGCGUUCUGCGGGUCCAUUCCCCCAUGGUGGCCAGCACGAGACUCCCUGCCUCAAUUACUGUCUGGCGUCUCACAUUGACUUUCUGUACCAAUCUGUCAUUAUUAGCACUGUUAUAAUAAUAAAAUGAUAAUGAGCUUCUAAGGAAAACAGCCGAGGUGAGUGAGAGGCAAUGGUAAUGGCAAUGGCACAGGAGGCUCAAGCUUUCCCCCACAGUGUUCUGAAGGCUUCUAUUUUCUGACCCAAGUCGAUGAAACACUCUGUAAGUUAGCAGACUGCAAAAUGGCAAUUAUGAGUCUGCAAUAAUACCGGAAAUAGGUGAAUAAUAGUCAUAAGAGACCGAGCACACCAGAGAGCCUGUCGUCACUGUUUGCUUUGUGCUACAUGUCCUCACACUGUCCCUCCCGCCUCAUGGUGAUGACAAUGAGGUGAUGGAACAGGACGACGGUUCCCAAAUCGCGGUGUCGGUCUCUAUUAAGUAACAGGAACUGCCCAUUCACGCAGAGAACAACAGGAACCAUUAAAGUUUAAAGUAGAAUCACUGUAGGUGUUCUCAAUCCUUUAAAUAAAUAUUUGACAGGGAGUCCUUUCAGUGUCAGCUCUGUGAUUAGCAUGUUCAUCUGACUGCCUCCUGGAACUGGCCUGAUUUGUGAAUGCUUCCUGUGGUUGGCAUGAUCAUGUGACUGCCUCCUGUGAUUGACAUGAUCAUGUGACUGCCUCCUGUGA